AUUUCUAGGAGCUGCGUGAGUCAGAAAGGCUUGAAAGGAGAGGUAAUAUUUCAGACCAGAUCUGAAAAUGAGUGGAUUAAGAGAGCUGGAGUAGCAGGGGUAACACAUUCCAGAGGUGCAGAGGCAAAGUUGUACAGGCAGGACUGUGCACGUAGAUGCAAAAGAGAGUGUGCCAACUAGUUUGACUGGUUCAGGUGGCAGAAGACUGGAAGAUAAGGCUGGGAAUUUCAGCUGGGACCAGAUUACAGAAAGUCUUACAAGCCAGGCUAAGCAGUUGGGACUUUGUAAGAACUUAGAUUUAUUGAAGACCUCUGACUUUGGAACUUGACACGGUGAAGGAUGGCUCUUUCAGAAGUCAGGAAAAUGCAAGAGACUGAAGUCAAUCAUCACAGUUGGCCUGAAGCCCAGGACUGGAAGAUGCAAGGGAAUAGAGAAGUUGCUACAAAAUGUCACAGCUUCUUCAGUUCACAGGGCUACAUCAAGAUAGAGAGAUUGGGGGCUGGAGCUCCGGCAUAGAAGGUAAAGCCACCACCUGCAGUGCCAGCAUCCCAUAUGGGCUCCGGUUCGAAUCCCGGCUGCUCCACUUCCAAUCCAGCGCUCUGGGAAAGCAGUAGAAGAUGGCCCAAGUCCUUGGGCCCCUGCCCCCAUGUUGAGACCCAGAAGAAGCUCCUGGCUCCUGGCUCCUGGCUUCAGACUGGUGCAGCUCUGGCUGUUUCUGCCAUCUGGGGAUUGAAUCAGCAGAUGGAAGACUUCUCUCUUCCUCUCUCUCUCUGCCUCUGCCUCUCUGUAACUUGGCCUUCAAAUAAAUAAAUAAAUCCAAAAAAAAAAAAAAAAAAGGAGAGAUGGUAAUUUGGCAUCUGUGACAGGACUGCUGUGAACUGCUUAGAGUGCUUUAUACUUCUGUGGGAAGUGAGGGGAUCCUGGAGGUCUGUACUUGUGAGUAGAUAGCGGGAGGGAGAAAACUAGAGCCUGCAGGCUGGCCACUUGUCUUGUAAAUAAAGGUUUAUUGGAACACAGCCAUGCCGACUCAUUUACAUAUUGUUUGUGCCUGCUUUCACACUCCAACAGCAGACUGAGGAGCUGGGACAGAGACCCUUACAGACCAGCCAAAAUAUUGCCCUCAAAGUAAAGGUAAAUAGAAAUAAAACAAAAUCUUAAAUGUAUUCUGAAAGCAGAGCCAAGGCCCUUUCUGAAAAAUAAGCACUGAAAUGUAUUUGUAAUGGUGAAAACUAAUUUUUUUCCAGAAAUUUGAAAUUACACCUACUUAAGUGGACUUUUCCCUUGACUCUUUAUGGUCUAGUAUGAAACGGUCAGAUCUGUGCUGUUCUCUUGACCUUUGAUCAAAUAAGCCUGUUUAGGAAAAUUGUAUAUUCCUAUUCCACUGGGCAAAGGAAUUUGUAACAUUUGAUUGGCACAAUAAAUCAUUACUUCUAAUGAAGCACAUUUUUUUAAAUCCUUCUUUGUUCUAAGCAAGCUCCUCUGUGAAUUUCAGCACAGUCAGGAUCCUCAUUUGGAAUUCACUGGGGUUGCUGCUGCAGAGCCACGUUGACCUGAAUGAAGAGAGGCUGGCGUAUAGUAUAGACCCGGAGUUCUGUGUUUAUCAAGCAAGUGAAGAGUAAACAUCCCUUCUCUCUUAACUGGUGGUUGUUGGGAGAGGAUACAGACAAAUGCUGAUUCUUUGACUUCCUAAAUUGUAUUGCCAUUUUCUUUCUUAUACGUUUGAAAUCUCAUUUCCUUAUCAUCAUUUGCAUUUAUAAAAUGUUUCAUGGGUUUAGUGUGUUUUCAGAACUCUAUCAUUUGAUAACUGUAUCAAUUCAGAAGUUCUUUUCUUCCUACAUUUCAUCAAUAAGGAAACUGAGGCUCAGAGUCAGUAAAUCUUAGUUUCACUGAGGAGAGGACCAACAGGAACAAAUGUUCACCACACAGCCUCACAACCUUAAGCCAGAUCUCAAACCUUGAUGUUUAAACUAUAAGUCCACGACCUGCCUCCUUAGCACAGUAGGCAGCAUAUCAGUUUCACAAUCAUAAACUGUAAGUCCACGAUGGUCUGAAUAUUUAUGUCUUCUUCCCCACCCAAAUUCAUGUGUGCAAACUUCAUUCCCAAUGUGAUCAUAGUAAGAGGUGGGAUCGGGGCCGGCACUGUGGCAUAGUGGGUAAAGCCACCGCCUGCAGUGCAGGCAUCCCAUAUGGAUGCCAGCUCAAG
Oryctolagus cuniculus (rabbit) is the source of this 2203-nucleotide long non-coding RNA. RefSeq lists it as uncharacterized. The record is from RefSeq and is a predicted model, not a curated record. Lineage: Eukaryota; Metazoa; Chordata; Mammalia; Lagomorpha; Leporidae.